GCAUGCACUUGGGGUUACCUCUCUGAAAGGGAACUGCUUAUCGGCCAUCUGUAUCUAGGCAGUGAGAACACUUGUGUCGAAGUCAGCAAAGCUGGGGAGAUCAUGAGACCCCUUGUCUCUAAGGAUCUCUAUCUGAUUCCCUUGCCUGACUCUGAAAAUCCAAGACUCCUGACCUGCCUUCAAUGCUCCUUUCACAACUAGCUGCCUGUCUUUGUUGACAUCUGUGGUCCUCUGUCCCCGUGCAUCUGUGGCUCACCUCCCGGACUCCCAGCGUUUCUAAAGAGUAUGGAACUGUCCUGGCUUCGUACAUGUUUGGCAGAAAGAUCUGCUUGCACCCGUCUUGUGAAGAUCAAUGGUGUCGGAAGGUCUUGGGUCCCAAGUAAAAAGUAAUCUGGUGACCAGCGAAUUUGGACUUCUGACCCUGUUUGGUCUCUUGCCUAAAUGUCCCCUUAUAAAUCUGGAAUGAGGUGACCAGAUGGUCCAAAUCACCCAGGACUGUCCCGUGUUUCCCCUUCCUGUCCCUCUCAGUCUGGUGUCUCGGAUUUGGCCCUGCGUUGCCCACUCCUGCUGGAUCUUGUCCAGUCGAGGGACAAAAACGUCUUGGUACCUUCCUGAAGAAUGGGAAGAAAGGAGAUUCUGGAAGCACAGAUUGAACCGCCGUGACAGAGGCUGAGGAAGCGGACGCCGGAAAGGAGUGCUCCCGCACCCACAGGAGCCCCGAGGACAGCAGGCACCGAAGGCUUGCGGGCCCAAGAAGGGGAGAAAUGCCAGCAAUGACCUCGAGCCACCCACCGCCGUCCCCGAGCCGUCCGCCCAGGACCACGGAACGGAGGACGCACAGUGGAUCUCACUCGCUUGGCAACUGCAAAAGCAGGAACAAAGGCCACAGAGGCUGAAGAAGCGGCAGGGGUCCGGAAGCUUUCAGGAUAACCCUGAGAAAAUCGCCUACUGAAUUACAACCAGUUUUGCCAACAGAUGUUGUGAGAAGAGGCCCCCGCUGGCUCCCAUCCCACCUGGAUGCCAUUCCUCGUGGACUUUGAAGAUCUCACCUCUGCCUUUCUGAGCAGGUUGUUCCCAUUUUGGCUCUGGUAGCUCUGCUUAACCUUCUCGAUGAGAAAAUGUUAACUUUUUUCAUCUCUGAGUCCUGGAUUAAACUGUCUUACCUGAAACUGGGUCAUUUUAGGCUAGAAGCCCUGCGAAACAUUGUUUUUUCUCAGGAGUUGGCAAGUUCGUGGCCCACUUGUUUCCUGUGUGAACGGGGGUCCACUUCUGAUAGUUGCUACCUGGCCUGGUCAGUGUGUCUCCUGGUAGGGUCCUCGGUGCUUUCCUUCCCCUAACCUGCCCCCAUCGCCCUGCCCCAGGUGAGACUCACGCAACGAUGGGGACCCUGAUUUAUGUAGAGCAGCUUCUUGGUGAGGACCCUCCUGGUGAGGACCGUAGUGGAUGCACUGUGGCUGGGUGUGUGAGAGAAAGUCUGGUCCGGUGGAACCGGGGUCUUUGUAAGAUGGGGGGUGGGGAUGGAAACGUGACUCCAUCCCAGGUAGCUUUCUCAGAAGCCCGCCCUCACGUCAGCCAUUCCCCUGGUUCCACCGUCACCCCCUUCCUCUCACCUGCUCCAGGAUAGUGUUUUUUUCUUGAUUCAGUGAAAAGUAACAUUGGUUGUUUUUUUCCUUAUUGAAAAGUGGCACAUGGUUAUUAUAAAAGCAUCAGACAUACAGACAAAAAAAAAAGAAAGAAAGAAAAGAAAAAAAAAAGAAAAAAGAAAAAAACCAGCCCCAAAUCCUACUUACCACAAAGACAACCAUUGGUUUUCUGUUAAAGAGCCUUUCAUAUAUAUGUGAUGCUAUACAUACCGACCUGCUCACACAUAUUUAAAUAUAUGUAUGCACAUAUAUAUAAUCAUAAGUAUAAAUGUAGCCACAGUGUCACAGUGCCACAUAUAUUCUUUGAUAACACACCUUGUCAUUGAAUGCCUUUUCAUGAGCAUUAGCUUUUUAUAUCAGCUUUUUUUAAUGAUUAAGUAAUGCCUUUAAUUACAGAAGAGACAACCGAGACCAGAAAUAUAAAGCAAUUUUCAAAAAAUGAGGGCACUAAGUGAUUUAGUAUAAGGGAACAAAGCCAAGUGACUACAACUCAAAGAAUACACAUCCUCCCCUUCUUUUUUUUUUUUUUUUUUUUUGCCAUGAGUUUCAUGGGUCUAUAGCAAUUGUAGUGUAAGAGUACUCAAUUAUGGAGCUAGACCAUCCUUUAUUUACCUAAUUUCAUGUUCCUUGAUGUUCAGGUUGUUUCCAAUUUUUCUCUGUUUUAGGCAGAAUUGGUAAUAAUGAACAUGGUUCUAGUUAAUCUUCAUAUGAUUAUUUCCUUAAGGUAAAUCUCCAGAAGGAGAUCAAAGGACAAUUAGUGAAGGUUGCAAAGACCUUGGAGUUUGGAGCCUGCACUAAUUGCUUGGCACACCCAAGUGCAUUAGAGCCUGGGCCACUGGGAAAGCUGCCUGUGCCCUUUCUUUGAUGACUUUAUAUAUCCACACUUGGGGAGCUCUGGCCUCCUUUCCCUUGCCCAGAACAGAGCAUACCCAUGAAUGACAGCUAAGUAAAGCAGAUGGCGAAUGAGGGAGUGGUGUCUCUCUGGGUUUGGUAUUGGGGUCUUUCUCGUGGUUCUUCAUUGGAUGCUGUGAAGUAGUCACUCAUUCAUUACCCAUAUAUGGAGCAGUCCUUGUUGCAAGGCAGUGAGCUGGAGGCUGAGAAGGCAGGGGUGAAUUAAACAGGGGCUCGAGCAUCCUUGGGAAGAUCCACAGCCUAGAGAAGGCCGAUGACUGAGAACACACACACACACACGCCAUAGCACAGCAAGAGGAAAUAUGUACAUUUGCUUGUACACUGCACAGGGGACAAUUUGGAACAAUGCAAAAGUCUCAAAGGAAAACCAGGAAACCACGCAUAAUCCACUGGCUCAUGCGUGACACCUGUCAUGUUUGAGGGUGCCCGUCAGGCUGGGACAUGUGCUUGUGGUCACCCUCCCUGGGUAGCACCUCCUCGAAGGCAUUGUCUCUGUGCCUCCAAAGACCCUGGCACCAGCUUAUCCAAUGUAUUCUGAAAUCUGUUAAGUCUGAAAUCCAAAGGGGAGGAAACAAAAUGAAAGGUAAAGGGAUUCAUGACUUAAACAAAGUCUCCAUGUUUUAUGUAUGUAGGAACACUUGCAUUAAUUCAUGUCCUUCUGCUUGAUGGAAACGUUUUCAAAUAUUUCAUUAUGAAAGUAACAAUCUCAUUUAAGAAAAUAUGGGAACUAGAGAAAAGGAAAACGGUCUUCCUUUUUUCAGCAUCCUACCCCAGGGCUGGUAGCAUUUUUGGUCUUCGCCCAGAAAAAUUUGUAUUAAGAUGGUGUGGAAGACAAGAACAGAGGCAUAUGGGAGUUUUUUGAGUUUUUUUUUCCCCAAUUUUUAUUUUUAAUUAAACAUGUUUAAUCAUUGAUUAUAUUCGCUUUGUUCAAAAUGUAAAUAGUACAAAAACAUAGAGACCGAAAGGCUUUAUGGCUCAGCCAUCUGGAUUCCUGGAGAUACCCAGUGCCAUCAGUUUCUUGCGACUCCUCCUAGAUUUUUCAUGCAUAUAAAACAAUGUAUGUAUAUAAAAUAUGAGUUUUUAAUGGAGGGCUUGGCAAUAUCAGUACUGAAUGUUCUAGGUUUAGCCUAAACUAUCCUUGAUGUUAGUGGCAGGCCUGGGACACAGGUGGAGAAGAAGAGAGAAAAGGGCAAAAGGGUGUGUGUGUGUGUGUGUGUGAGAGAGAGAGAGAGAGAGAGAAAGCACGAGAGAGCACACAUGCGUGAAUGAGAGUAGGUGGUUGUUGCUAAGGGAGAUAGUGCAGGGAGGAUGAGAAGCAAAGGGAAAGAGCAACCGUCCAGUCAUUCAUUUAUCCAACCAGUAUUUAUUGAGCAGCUAUUAUGUGCCAGGAUACUAUUCUAGACCCUGGAGAAUCAGGAGGGAACCAAGUAUUCCGUGUCCCUGUAGAUAUUGUUUGAAAAUGGAAGGUAGUAGAUUAUAAACAUUAUAACUAAGUAAAUUAUAGUCUGUUAGAAUGUGGUAAGUUAUGGAAAAAAAAUAAGUAGGAUGUAGGCGAUAGGGAGUUUCAGGAAAUAAUUUUGAAGUGAGUGGUCAGGGUAGGCUUCUUUGAGGAGGGGGCAUAUGUGUGAAGGCUUGAAGGAGGUAAGAGAGUGAACCCUGUGGAUAUUUUGGGAAGGAGCAUCCACAGCAGAGUAGGCAGUGCAAAGGCCCUGUGGCAGAAGUGUGAGGCUUGGAGGCAGUCAGCAGUCACCCUUCUGCUUCUCACCCCUGCCAAGUCUAUUCUUGGUGGCCUCUUCACUAAGGCUGGCUUUCUUCAGGUCCUGAAGAAGCCAGGGUCAGCCUAGUGUGUUCUAUCUACAGAGCUGAGAUACAUUAACCUUAGUUUUUCCUUCUUCUGAAUUUCGAUCCAAAUGUUUUAUUUUACUCUUUCUAAGGAUAAUUCUGUGGUCUGAAUGUUAAUUUAGUCCAACUAAGGAAAAGUUGGGUGUGGGGAGAAGUAGUAUUGUUGCAAUAGGAAAAGCAAGAUUGAGGUCUCAGGGGUCCUCCUCCUGAAACCACUGAUCCUGCCCCUUGUUUUCUAGCCUUUUGUAUUGGGCACAUUAUCCAUCCUCUCUGGUCCUUGGUUUCCUCGUUUGAAGUUGAAGGGGGUGUACUUAGAUAGCUUUAGGGCUGUACUCAGACUGUGUCAGCCACUGAGAUAAGAAGUGGUGUUGGAUGAUGUCUAGCAAUUCUGCAAAGGGAGGCAGGGAAGAUGCUGCCCGCAGAGGACUCUGUGCGCAUGCUAAUACGUGCCGCCACCCGAUUUCCCUCUUGGGCUAGACGAGCUCAGCUUCGCCCUUAAAAUAGAAUAUUCCAUCUGAGUCAGUCCCCAAUCCCUGAUGGUAACAGAGGAGACAGGGCCACACUGCUAAUUGCAUUCUUCUCCCUGUCUCCUUUAAGCCUGGAAAGGGUUGAUUUCCUCCAUGCCCCAGAGCCGCACUGAUACUCUGCUGGCGUGGACAGGGCCGUGGUGGGAUCUGGGGCUCCUCCUUUUGUUUUCUUUUGGCUUUAGAGCUUCCCUCCCCUCUUUGCUAUCAUCAGUUCAUGUGGCUGGAGGCUUUGAGCUUCCCUGGUGAGUUAGGCAGCGGGGAGGAGAGGGAGUGUGCCAUUGGCAUCGCUGUUGCUCCAUGUGGAGCAAGAUCACUCUGUGAAUUUAAAAAUCAGGAUGCACGUAAGAGGGUGUGGGGGCAGAGCUGGAGCCUUUAGCGAGUUCCUGUAGGAGGACAAUCCUAAACACAAUAAAAGACUUCUCUUUCACUCUUAAAGUGUGAGGCACCUUGGUUGUAGUUACUUGCUCGUCCAUUUCUCCGUUGCCCCUGGUUUUUCUUCCACUGCCCGUCUUCUGCGUCCUUGGCGCCUGUCCAACAGGGCAACUGAAGAGCUGCUUCUUCCCUUCCUGGAGUUCUCUUGUUUUGUUCUUCUGAUGGGGGCAUCAUGUUCCCUCGGCGUGGUGGGGUGGGGUGGGGUGGGACAUGCAUGCUCACACACCUGCAGCUGAAAAUGGAUUCUGAGAGGCUUAGUUUACUGAAAUCAACUUCUGAGCUACGUGAUUUUCCCAAUCCCUUUUAAAAUACGUAUUGUAUAUAAAAAUCCCUCUCUUACUUUUUACAUUUCAUGUGAUGCCCUUUGUCUCCAUCAACUGUUGUGGAGAGAAAUUUUAUUUGGAAUAUUCAUAACAAGUCUAUCGCUAAUUAUCACUUUAACAAUGUGUUAUGGAGUGUAUCCAUGCAGUCAUCUGGAAAGGCACAUAUGCCACGAAAUUUGGGAUUUGCUGUGUACUGUGUGUGCCCACUCUUAGUGUUUCACCAGAUCUUUGCUCCGGGAGGAAGUGGAGGUACUCUGUAAGGGAGAAUGGAGGACUGACCUUGUAGCCAAACGCAGGCAUCCCUCAGUCCUGUCCUCGUAGCAACAAUUUCCAGGCUCAACCGCUUUUGAGUGUAAGAAAACCCUUCAUGUGAAACAAAAUCGGUCCGCACAGCGAAGCCCCAUUCUGGAAAGCUACAGAGAUGGGAUCUGAGGUCACCCCCGGCCUACGCCAGGUGGAGAGAUUCCAGACAGAUCUAAUCACAGGCGAAGAAGAGGACACUGGCCUUAGUGCCUUCCUGAUGCAGGCAAGAAGAGUGCGGCUCAAGUUGCCCUGGGAUUGGCAGAUCUGAGAAGCAAAUGCAAAGGAUCUUCAGCAUCUCCUGUCUCCUGAGGGGACAAGAAAGAAUGCCCAUUUCUUUCUUCCCGCUCUCUUUUCUCCUGGGAAGGAGAAUGAACUCAUGCUGAGUUCCCUCUUCGGGAUGCUCAGUGGGUCUGAGCCUGGGGAUGGGAUUACAUCAUCACAGGGGCCCUAGGAACUCUUCCACCUGGGGCUUCUGGAUGGAAGUGGGCGGAGCCCAAGAGGCCGCCAGCCAAUGAGGGCAAGAAGAAUAGGGCAGGGAUGGAGCAGAGCUCCUGGUCCAACAGCUCAGUACUGGUGCAGUUCUAAACCACAUGGCCUGUAAGGGGUGGGGGGGCUAGCAACGGCUCAGCUGGGAAGGACCUGCCAACCCUGGCUCCAUGGAAACUUGUGGAUCUCUGUGGGUCCUACUAUUAAUGCUGGCAGGGGAUUUGGGCUCAGUCUUUUCUGGGUAUCCUUGGAGUGUUCUGAGGGAGGUACUUUGGGCCACUGCAGAGUUGACUGUGUUUUAAUGAGCUUUUUAUAAAGAGUUCUUAUUGCAUCUGUAGCCUGGUUGACUAGCUGCCCCUCUAGAAAUGAUAACAGUAAUUAUUAUUUAUUGAGUACUUGCUAUAUGCUAGGUGCCUCAUUCAUCAACAGGUUACAUUAACAAGGAGCAUUAAUGGGGAGUUUACGAUGCAUCAAAGUCUCAAGCAUUUUAGAGAUUCAUGUCACAGGUAGAGAAGGAAGCUCCCACGGGACUCCUCAUUUACUUGGGAAGAAACUGAGGCCCAGAGUGUUAGCUAAGCUGUUGUAAGUGGCCCUGCUGGGAAGCCGCAUGAGGGAAGGAAACAGUUUUAGGACUGUCUUUCCACAGCGGUGUUCCUCUUUCCCACUGUAAAGCAGCAGGUUAAACAGUACCCCAAGGAACAAGUGAUGUGAAUGUCAAAAAGAUAGGGUGUUCCCUGGCUCUGUGUGGUCGGAGGAAGAUGCUGGCUCUGGACCGGGCUCAUCCGUGCUGUUCAGCGAUCGGCUCUGGGGCUUUGCCCCUGUUUAGGGUCCAUUGUGAAAAGUCGGUGCUGGCUGCUUCCUUAAGGACUUGAUUUAAUAAACCUUGGCUUUCUGACUG
Long non-coding RNA from Neogale vison (American mink), 7366 nucleotides. RefSeq lists it as uncharacterized. The transcript is spliced from 3 exons. The record is from RefSeq and is a predicted model, not a curated record. Lineage: Eukaryota; Metazoa; Chordata; Mammalia; Carnivora; Mustelidae.